CAGCAGCCGCGGUAACACCGGCGGCCCGAGUGGCGGCCACUAUUAUUGGGCUUAAAGCGUCCGUAGCCGGGUUGGUUAGUCUCCCGGGAAAUCUGGCCGCUUAACGGUCAGAAUUCCGGGAGAUACUGCCAGCCUAGGGACCGGGAGAGGCCGAGGGUAUUCCCGGAGUAGGGGUGAAAUCCUAUAAUCCCGGGAGGACCACCUGUGGCGAAGGCGCUCGGCUGGAACGGGUCCGACGGUGAGGGACGAAGGCCAGGGGAGCAAACCGGAUUAGAUACCCGGGUAGUCCUGGCUGUAAACGAUGCGGACUUUGUGUCGGACAAGCUAUGAGCUUGUCCGGUGCCGGAGGGAAACCGUUAAGUCCGCCGCCUGGGGAGUACGGCCGCAAGGCUGAAACUUAAAGGAAUUGGCGGG
This 414-nucleotide ribosomal RNA is filed under the name uncultured microorganism. RNAcentral describes it as "bacterial SSU rRNA". It matches the Rfam family "Archaeal small subunit ribosomal RNA", at positions 459 to 872 of the family's 1478-position model. The record is from RNAcentral.